AUAGAAUUCAGCAGUGAAGCCACCAGGACCCAGGAUUUUCUUUGUUGCCUGUGUGUGAGAAGCUCCUGAAGAUGUUAAAUAGCCUGAAGCUUUUGUCUCAUCUCAACUCAACUGAGUCAAAACAUCUGGGAGUAGAACAGAGUCACGAAGCGUGUGAAGAAAACUUUAAAUGUGAAAGAAAGAAAACUAAAUAAAUAAAAAACGAAGAUAUGGCAUUCACAGAAGCAAUCCAGACUCCAAAGUCUUUAGUAAAUUUAAGAAGGUAAACAUACUGGAGUCGUGCAGAAAACACCGAAUCAGCCCGGUGCAGACAGG
Molecule: long non-coding RNA, 315 nt
Filed under: Heterocephalus glaber (naked mole-rat)
Lineage: Eukaryota; Metazoa; Chordata; Mammalia; Rodentia; Bathyergidae
Description: lncRNA (ENSHGLG00000034472.1)
Source: RNAcentral